RNAcentral lists this ribosomal RNA (497 nucleotides) under uncultured bacterium. RNAcentral's name for it is "partial 16S ribosomal RNA". It matches the Rfam family "Bacterial small subunit ribosomal RNA", at positions 28 to 507 of the family's 1533-position model. The record is from RNAcentral.
GAUGAACGCUGGCGGCGUGCCUAAUACAUGCAAGUCGAGCGAACAGACCAGGAGCUUGCUCCUCUGACGUUAGCGGCGGACGGGUGAGUAACACGUGGAUAACCUACCUAUACGACUGGGAUAACUUCGGGAAACCGGAGCUACUACCGGAUAAUAUAUUGAACCGCAUGGUUCAAUAGUGAAAGACGGUUUUGCUGUCACUUAUAGAUGGAUCCGCGCCGCAUUAGCUAGUUGGGAAGGUAACGGCUUACCAAGGCAACGAUGCGUACCCGACCUGAACGGGUGAUCGCCCACACUGGAACUGAGACACGUUCCAGACUCCGACGGGAGGCAGCAGUAGGGAAUCUUCCGCAAUGGGCGAAAGCCUGACGGAGCAACACCGCGUGAGGGAUGAAGGUCUUCGGAUCGGAAAACUCUGUUAGUAGGGAAGAACAAAUGUGUAAGUAACUAUGCACGUCUUGACGGUACCUAAUCAGAAAGCCACGGCUAACUACGUG